Molecule: ribosomal RNA, 492 nt
Filed under: uncultured bacterium
Lineage: Bacteria
Description: partial 16S ribosomal RNA
Rfam family: Bacterial small subunit ribosomal RNA
Source: RNAcentral
AGUGAACGCUGGCGGUAGGCCUAACACAUGCAAGUCGAACGGCAGCACAGUAAGAGCUUGCUCUUACGGGUGGCGAGUGGCGGACGGGUGAGGAAUACAUCGGAAUCUACUUUUUCGUGGGGGAUAACGUAGGGAAACUUACGCUAAUACCGCAUACGACCUACGGGUGAAAGCAGGGGAUCUUCGGACCUUGCGCGAUUGAAUGAGCCGCUGUCGGAUUAGCUAGUUGGCGGGGUAAAGGCCCACCAAGGCGACGAUCCGUAGCUGGUCUGAGAGGAUGAUCGGCCACACUGGAACUGAGACACGGUCCAGACUCCUACGGGAGGCAGCAGUGGGGAAUAUGGGACAAUGGGCGCAAGCCUGAUCCAGCCAGACCGCGUGGGUGAAGAAGGCCUUCGGGUUGUAAAGCCCUUUUGUUGGGAAAGAAAAGCAGCAGGUUAAUACCCCGCUGUUCUGACGGUACCCAAAGAAUAAGCACCGGCUAACUACGUG